CAGUCGCCGCGGUAAGACAGAGGAUGCAAGCGUUAUCCGGAAUUAUUGGGCGUAAAGGGCUCGCAGGCGGUUUCUUAAGUCUGAUGUGAAAGCCCCCGGCUCAACCGGGGAGGGUCAUUGGAUACUGGGAAACUUGAGUGCAGAAGAGGAGAGCGGAAUUCCACGUGUAGCGGUGAAAUGCGUAGAGAUGUGGAGGAACACCAGUGGCGAAGGCGACUCUCUGGUCUGUAACUGACGCUGAGGAGCGAAAGCGUGGGGAGCGAACAGGAUUAGAUACCCCUGUAGUCCCUGUCUCUUAUAC
RNAcentral lists this ribosomal RNA (301 nucleotides) under uncultured bacterium. RNAcentral describes it as "partial 16S ribosomal RNA". It matches the Rfam family "Bacterial small subunit ribosomal RNA", at positions 509 to 807 of the family's 1533-position model. The record is from RNAcentral.